UAUAGUACCAUAACAAUACAAUUGUCUCAAGGCGCUUUAUGUUUAUGCAUUCAGUUGAUGUGUGUUUUAAAAAGCAUCACUUCAAAACUCAGUUUAAAACGAAGUAACAAAAUGCUAACUUAGUAUUACAAAUGCAAUUACAACCCAGGUUAACAUAACUAAGAAAUGGAGGACAUAAGAUGACAACUCCUAACCUCCAUUGUGUUUUGGUAGUUGAAUAUAUGAUUUAGUUUAAAUAAUCUCUUGUGACAUAGCAGUAUAUGUUUCCAGCAACCACCAGUUUAAUCAUAAUUACCACUGCAACUGUAUUAUGGUCCAUUAAUAUGUGCCUGAGGAGUAUUUCAGCAUUUACAAAAACUGCGCUAUCUUUAAAACAAAAAAAACCCAAAUCGCAGCUUCUGAUGACAUAUUACCUGACCUCUCAUGGAACCCUUCAGGCUGAGUGUAGCGCUGUGUUGCCAUGGUGACAAGCUGAGUGUAGCGCUGUGUUGCCAUGGGUACAUGCCAGGAGGACUAGCUAUGGAGAAACAUUUUAUUAGUUCUAUUUUGCAAAGAGUUUGGAAUGCUAAUUUUUUUUUUUUUAGUGUGUGUGUGUGUGAGUGUGGUUGAGCGUGUGCCCGUAUGCAUGGCAUCUGUUUAAAACCUUGUAGACUUGUAGACUUUUGUGUCUUGCCAAAAUAUACCAAGUGCCCAUGCACCCCAUAAACAUGUAAUCAAUCCUUUUGCUUGUCACCGAUAGCAGCCAGCAAUCUCACCUUUCCUCUACUUACAAAUGUGUCAUCGAUUAAUAUGCAUCUCUGCUUGUUAAGAUCUAAAUAGACUGAUUAAAUACGAAUAAGAUAGAUAGACUAGGUUAUCUGUUAGUCAUAUAGAGAUUUGUAAGCCAAAUGUUCACGUGAAAUGAACCUGCUCCAGGGCCAACUCUGAAUGUAGAAUAUGAGACUGCCCCCCCCCCCCCCCGCCCCCGCCACCCUCGAGAGGGGUCUCCUGCGCCUGCUUGUCAUGGGAGAUGUUAUGCGUAGACCAUACAUUUAGAAAUGCUGUAGACGGACCACAAGGACCAUACCGCCAUAUGUACAACCUCACACAUUUGCUAAGGCUACAGUUCAGUUCUAACCCUAACCUAACCCUAGGCUCAGCGCUCAUAGACAUGUCAUCAACCCACAAUUAAUUAGGUCAGUCUGACUAACCCUAACCCUAAUCCUGUCUGACGUUUGAGAAAACCCCAAUUAAAAAUCCAGCAGCAAAUAACCACCAUUUGAUGAAAUUUCUUAUUUUAUGUUAUUUCUUGUAGAAAUAGUUUUAUUAUUUUGCACCAAAUCAUAGUAUUUUAAUACGAUUUGGUGCAAAAAAACUGUUCUGAGUUGACAAUGUAUCCAGCAGCUAAAACCUUGACAUUGACCCAAAACAUAGUGAUGAAUCAGAGGGUCAACUCACAGGCAGAGUUACGGUUACAUACACACACACACACACUAGGAGUAUACAGUACCAGUCAAAAGUUUGGACACACCUUCUCAGUAUUUGAGAAGUUUUUUUCUUUACUUUUAUUAUUUUCUACAUGGUAGAUAACAUUUUUUUUUGUUCAGUACAUCAUUCCAUAUGUGUUAUUUCGUAGUUUAAAUAUAAGGUGUGUCCAAAAAAUAAGGUGUGUCCAAACUUUUGACUGGUACUGUAGAUGCAGGUAUAGUAGAGUAUAGUAUGCCAUGGGUCACUCAUGAAACACACCCUACACACACACACACACACACAACACACACACACACUCACACACACACACACACACUUGUAGUAGUAUUCAGGUUUAGGGGUUAGAUACUGUAGUAUAGUAGAGUAUAGUAUUCAGGUUUAGGGGUUAGGGGUUAGAUACUGUAGUAUAGAAUUCAGGUUUAGGGGUUAGAUACUGUAGUAUAGUAGAGUAUAGUAUUCAGGUUUAGGGGUUAGAUACUGUAGUAUAGUAGAGUAGAGUAUUCAGGUUUAGGGGUUAGAUACUGUAGUAUAGUAGAGUAUAGUAUUCAGGUUUAGGGGUUAGAUACUGUAGUAUAGUAGAGUAUAGUAUUCAGGUUUAGGGGUUAGGGGUUAGAUACUGCAGUAUAGUAGAGUAUAGUAUAGUAUGCAGGUUUAGGGGUUAGAUACUGUAGUAUAGUAGAGUAUAGUAUUCAGGUUUAGGGGUUAGAUACUGUAGUAUAGUAGAGUAUAUAGUAUGCAGGUUUAGGGGUUAGAUACUGUAGUAUAGUAUAUUAUAUAGUAUUCAGGUUUAGGGGUUAGAUACUGUAGUAGAGUAUAGUAUUCAGGUUUAGGGGUUAGAUACUGUAGUAUAGUAUAGAGUAUAGUAAUCAGGUUUAGGGGUUAGAUAUUGUAGUAUAGUAUAGAGUAUAGUAUUCAGGUUUAGGGGUUAGAUAAUGUAGUAUAGUAGAGUAUAGUAUUCAGGUUUAGGGGUUAGAUACUGUAGUAUAGUAGAGUAUAGUAUAGUAUUCAGGUUUAGGGGUUAGAUACUGUAGUAUAGUAGGAGUGUAGUAUGCCAUGGGUCUCUCAUGAAACACACCCUACACACCCUAGACACACACACACACACACCCUACAUACACACACACCCUACACACACACACACUUGUGUGUGAGGCCGCAGUGUUCAACCCUGGCCCUUACUGCUGAACAAGUCUAAUUUAGAUGGGUUAGGGUUAGGGUUAGUAAAUGUGAUGUCAUGUGAUGGGUAAGGGUUACCCUGCUGUCGGACCAAGAGCCUUGUGUACCACGGCGGAGGGAACUAGAGGCACCAAGAGCCUUGUGUCCCACGGCGGAGGGAACUAAAGGUCUACACACACACACACACACACACACACACACACACACACACACACACACGAGGCAUUAGAGGCAUCAUUAGAGGGAGACUCCGUGAAGAGCAUCCCAAUAGUUCUCUAGUUGCAGCAUUCAAGGACAUUAAAUUAUGUUUUUGUCAUCUCUAUAUUACUCUGUUCUGUAGCUACUCAGUAGGGGGAUACUGGGUUCCUGUUUAGAAUGGAAUUCCCUUUCUGAAGUAGACGUGAAAGAUAUAGGAAACUCCUCAAAAUGCUUACAAACAAACCUCUUAAUGCAGGCAAUGGAUUAGAAACAAGAAAUGUAAAGCUCCAUAUGUGUACACAAAUGAUAAAUAUAGUUAUUUAAGCAGCUUUAAAACAUUUUCCCAAGCUUUUGCCUUUUUUCCCUAGCAAGCAUGCUUUACAGUGAGAAAAAGCCAAACCAGCUCUGUGUGGGGAAACGGACAUGUUUAUGUUUACCUGAUCUGUGAUUGGUUUAAAACAGUGGUGAUGUGAUUGUAGGGUGUGUGUAGUGUACUAUAGAGUCUCUAUGGUGGAAUGAGGACUUUAUGAGUGGAAUGAGAUUCUUUUGAAUGAAGAGUGCAUUACAAAUAAAAUACAUUAUUAUUAUUAAUUAUUUAAAGCAAGUCCAGGGAUGUAACUGUGUUACAUAGUGAACAUUGAUGUUGGGGUGAUUUUUGUUUGUGUGUUUUGGUAAAACACCAAGGUGAUGUGAUAUCAGCAGAUGUCUUUGAUUGGUUUGAAGCAUGUACUCCCGCCCUCCCGGUGACAGUGAUCAGCCAAUGAACAGUGGAAGCCAGCCUGUCGCUUCAUCAGCAUGAUGUCACCAUACCUGAUCAUCAUAACCACUCCUUAAUAAGUACGAAGGUGAUUGGCUGAAUAAAGCUAACUCCUUAAUAAGUAUGAAGGUGAUUCGCUGAAUAAAGCUAAUUACUGCAUUAAAACUAUGUCAGUCAUUCUGAAUAAACUGAUUUCGCAGCUUUGGCCAUUG
Molecule: long non-coding RNA, 3810 nt
Organism: Clupea harengus (Atlantic herring)
Lineage: Eukaryota; Metazoa; Chordata; Actinopteri; Clupeiformes; Clupeidae
Exons: 2
Source: RefSeq, a predicted model, not a curated record